RNAcentral lists this ribosomal RNA (254 nucleotides) under uncultured bacterium. RNAcentral describes it as "partial 16S ribosomal RNA". It matches the Rfam family "Bacterial small subunit ribosomal RNA", at positions 1066 to 1320 of the family's 1533-position model. The record is from RNAcentral.
CGUGAGAUGUUGGGUUAAGUCCCGUAACGAGCGCAACCCUUGUCCUUAGUUGCCAGCGGUCCGGCCGGGCACUCUAGGGAGACUGCCGGUGACAAACCGGAGGAAGGUGGGGACGACGUCAAGUCAUCAUGGCCCUUACGACCUGGGCUACACACGUGCUACAAUGGCCGGUACAAAGGGCAGCGAAGCGGCGACGCGGAGCGAAUCCUUUAAAACCGGUCGUAGUCCGGAUUGGAGUCUGCAACUCGACUCCA